AUGAAUGUUGAUGCGGCAGUGGCCCGUCAUCGACAUGGGGGAGCGGGGUCAGCAGUGUGCAGGGAUCAUACAGGGCUAUACAUGGGAUCAUCGGCACUAGUGAUCCGGGGCAUUUCCGACCCAACGAUGCUGGAGACGUUUGCAUGCAGGGAAGCACUGGCCCUGGCGAAGGAUCUCGGCGUUUCAAGCUUAGUGGUGGCAUCGGACUGUCUUGGAGUGAUCAGAGACAUCAACCUGGGAACAAGAGGACCACAUGCAACGGUGGUACAUGAAAUAAUGGAGCGGAGAAGAAGUUUUACCUCAUGUUCUUUUAUUCACGAGCUUAGGAACCACAACUUUGAAGCUCAUAAUCUUGCCAAAUUUUGUAAUCUUGGUCUAGGUAGAAAUGUGUGGUUGGGUGCCCCCCAUGACCCGAACCAUGUACCUAUGAACAUUCUUGAAGUUUAA
RNAcentral lists this ribosomal RNA (447 nucleotides) under Triticum aestivum (bread wheat). RNAcentral describes it as "partial small subunit ribosomal RNA". The record is from RNAcentral. Lineage: Eukaryota; Viridiplantae; Streptophyta; Magnoliopsida; Poales; Poaceae.